UGGGGAAUAUUGCACAAUGGGCGCAAGCCUGAUGCAGCCAUGCCGCGUGUGUGAAGAAGGCCUUCGGGUUGUAAAGCACUUUCAGCGAGGAGGAAGGUGGUGAGCUUAAUACGCUCAUCAAUUGACGUUACUCGCAGAAGAAGCACCGGCUAACUCCGUGCCAGCAGCCGCGGUAAUACGGAGGGUGCAAGCGUUAAUCGGAAUUACUGGGCGUAAAGCGCACGCAGGCGGUUUGUUAAGUCAGAUGUGAAAUCCCCGGGCUCAACCUGGGAACUGCAUUUGAAACUGGCAAGCUAGAGUCUCGUAGAGGGGGGUAGAAUUCCAGGUGUAGCGGUGAAAUGCGUAGAGAUCUGGAGGAAUACCGGUGGCGAAGGCGGCCCCCUGGACGAAGACUGACGCUCAGGUGCGAAAAGCGUGGGGAGCAAACAGGGUUAGAUACCCUGGUAGUCCACGCUGUAAACGAUGUCGAUUUGGAGGUUGUGCCCUUGAGGCGUGGCUUCCGGAGCUAACGCGUUAAAUCGACCGCCUGGGGAGUACGGCCGCAAGGUUAAAACUCAAAUGAAUUGAC
This 568-nucleotide ribosomal RNA is filed under the name uncultured bacterium. RNAcentral describes it as "partial 16S ribosomal RNA". It matches the Rfam family "Bacterial small subunit ribosomal RNA", at positions 355 to 914 of the family's 1533-position model. The record is from RNAcentral.